UAUGGUCAUAUUGUGUUGAAACACCAGUUCCCAUAUAAUCACCAAAAUUAAGCAACAUCAAGCCUGGUCAGUACCUAGAUGGGUGACCUUGAGAAUAUCAGGUGCUGUAAG
Molecule: non-coding RNA, 111 nt
Organism: Acanthosepion pharaonis
Lineage: Eukaryota; Metazoa; Mollusca; Cephalopoda; Sepiida; Sepiidae
Source: the annotation of a GenBank genome assembly